AAGGUACAAUUCGGUUAACGAGGUUAGGUUACUAAUUGUGGGAGGAACUAGCCCGAAAAAGUCAUUAAAGGCAAGAUCCAAGAACUCAAGUUUGUUGAGAUUUCCAAAUUCAGAAGGGAGUGAUGACCUGAAGUUGUUGGAACCUAGAUCAAGGUAACUGAGGUGGUGCAACUCAAACAGGCUAGUAUUGUUGGGAUUCAGAGUUCCAGAGAAAUGAUUAUGAGAAAGGUCUAAAAACGAGAGCUUUGUUAGAUUCCGUACAAGUGGGAAACUACCAGUGAGCUGGUUGUGGUCAAGGUACAAAUCGGUUAACGAGGUUAGGUUACUAAUUGUGGGAAGAACUUGCCCGUAAAAGUCAUUGGAGUGAAGAUACAAGACCUCUAACCUGUUGAGAUUUCCAAAUUCAGAAGGGAGUGAUGAGGUGAAGUUGUUUUGACUUAGAUCAAGGUAACGGAGGUGGUGCAACUCAAACAGGCUAGUACUCUUGGGAUUCAGACUUCCAGAGAAAUGAUUAUUAGAAAGGUCUAAAAACGAGAGCUUCGUUAGAAUCCUUACAAGUGGGAAACUACCAGUGAGCUCGUUUAGGGAAAGAGAUAAAUAG
RNAcentral lists this long non-coding RNA (601 nucleotides) under Brassica rapa (field mustard). Its description in RNAcentral is "long non-coding RNA (BRAP_LNC003063)". The record is from RNAcentral. Lineage: Eukaryota; Viridiplantae; Streptophyta; Magnoliopsida; Brassicales; Brassicaceae.